This 351-nucleotide ribosomal RNA is filed under the name Sceloporus bulleri. RNAcentral describes it as "partial small subunit ribosomal RNA". It matches the Rfam family "Bacterial small subunit ribosomal RNA", at positions 847 to 1368 of the family's 1533-position model. Lineage: Eukaryota; Metazoa; Chordata; Lepidosauria; Squamata; Phrynosomatidae. The record is from RNAcentral.
UGAUAUUGCAACACUAAAAUAUCCGCCAGAAAACUACGAGCGAAAAGCUUAAAACUCAAAGGACUUGGCGGUGCUCCACACCGACUUAGAGGAGCCUGUCCUAUAAUCGAUACCCCACGUUAAACCUCACCAAUCUUUGCCCAGCCUAUAUACCGCCGUCGUCAACCUACCUCAUGAGAGAAAAAUAGUAAGUGUAAAAGUUCAGUAACUAAAACGUCAGGUCAAGGUGUAGCUUAUAGAAUGGAAGAGAUGGGCUACAUUUUUUAAGAUAAAACACACGGCAUGGUACUAUGAAAUUUUUACCUGAAGGAGGAUUUAAUAGUAAACUUAACAAGAAAAUUAAUUUUAAAC